Molecule: regulatory RNA element, 54 nt
Organism: Lepisosteus oculatus (spotted gar)
Lineage: Eukaryota; Metazoa; Chordata; Actinopteri; Semionotiformes; Lepisosteidae
Rfam family: Editing element of GABA-3 exon 9
Source: Rfam
AAAGUGGCAUAUGCCACGGCUAUGGACUGGUUUAUGGCCGUCUGCUAUGCUUUU